GGCGAACGCUGGCGGCGUGCUUAACACAUGCAAGUCGAACGGAAAGGCCCUGCUUUUGUGGGGUGCUCGAGUGGCGAACGGGUGAGUAACACGUGAGUAACCUGCCCUUGACUUUGGGAUAACUUCAGGAAACUGGGGCUAAUACCGGAUAGGAGCUCCUGCUGCAUGGUGGGGGUUGGAAAGUUUCGGCGGUUGGGGAUGGACUCGCGGCUUAUCAGCUUGUUGGUGGGGUAGUGGCUUACCAAGGCUUUGACGGGUAGCCGGCCUGAGAGGGUGACCGGCCACAUUGGGCCUGAGAUACGGCCCAGACUCCUACGGGAGGCAGCAGUGGGGAAUAUUGCACAAUGGGCGGAAGCCUGAUGCAGCAACGCCGCGUGCGGGAUGACGGCCUUCGGGUUGUAAACCGCUUUCGCCUGUGACGAAGCGUGAGUGACGGUAAUGGGUAAAGAAGCACCGGCUAACUACGUG
This 468-nucleotide ribosomal RNA is filed under the name uncultured bacterium. RNAcentral's name for it is "partial 16S ribosomal RNA". It matches the Rfam family "Bacterial small subunit ribosomal RNA", at positions 28 to 507 of the family's 1533-position model. The record is from RNAcentral.